UACGUAGGCAGCAAGCGUUGUUCGGAGUUACUGGGCGUAGAGGGUGUGUAGGCGGUUGCUUAAGUUUGGUGUGAAAUCUCCCGGCUCAACUGGGAGGGUGCGCCGAAUACUGAGUGACUCGAGUGCGGGAGAGGAAAGUGGAAUUCCUGGUGUAGCGGUGAAAUGCGUAGAUAUCAGGAGGAACACCGGUGGUGUAGACGGCUUUCUGGACCGUAACUGACGCUGAAACACGAAAGCGUGGGUAGCAAACAGG
This 253-nucleotide ribosomal RNA is filed under the name uncultured bacterium. RNAcentral describes it as "partial 16S ribosomal RNA". It matches the Rfam family "Bacterial small subunit ribosomal RNA", at positions 524 to 776 of the family's 1533-position model. The record is from RNAcentral.